CCGUAACUAUAACGGUCCUAAGGUAGCGAAAUUCCUUGUCGGGUAAGUUCCGACCUGCACGAAUGGCGUAAUGAUGGCCAGGCUGUCUCCACCCGAGACUCAGUGAAAUUGAACUCGCUGUGAAGAUGCAGUGUACCCGCGGCAAGACGGAAAGACCCCGUGAACCUUUACUAUAGCUUGACACUGAACAUUGAGCCUUGAUGUGUAGGAUAGGUGGGAGGCUUUGAAGUGUGGACGCCAGUCUGCAUGGAGCCGACCUUGAAAUACCACCCUUUAAUGUUUGAUGUUCUAACGUUGACCCGUAAUCCGGGUUGCGGACAGUGUCUGGUGGGUAGUUUGACUGGGGCGGUCUCCUCCUAAAGAGUAACGGAGGAGCACGAAGGUUGGCUAAUCCUGGUCGGACAUCAGGAGGUUAGUGCAAUGGCAUAAGCCAGCUUGACUGCGAGCGUGACGGCGCGAGCAGGUGCGAAAGCAGGUCAUAGUGAUCCGGUGGUUCUGAAUGGAAGGGCCAUCGCUCAACGGAUAAAAGGUACUCCGGGGAUAACAGGCUGAUACCGCCCAAGAGUUCAUAUCGACGGCGGUGUUUGGCACCUCGAUGUCGGCUCAUCACAUCCUGGGGCUGAAGUAGGUCCCAAGGGUAUGGCUGUUCGCCAUUUAAAGUGGUACGCGAGCUGGGUUUAGAACGUCGUGAGACAGUUCGGUCCCUAUCUGCCGUGGGCGCUGGAGAACUGAGGGGGGCUGCUCCUAGUACGAGAGGACCGGAGUGGACGCAUCACUGGUGUUCGGGUUGUCAUGCCAAUGGCACUGCCCGGUAGCUAAAUGCGGAAGAGAUAAGUGCUGAAAGCAUCUAAGCACGAAACUUGCCCCGAGAUGAGUUCUCCCUGACUCCUUGAGAGUCCUGAAGGAACGUUGAAGACGACGACGUUGAUAGGCCGGGUGUGUAAGCGCAGCGAUGCGUUGAGCUAACCGGUACUAAUGAACCGUGAGGCUUAACCUUACAACGCCGAAGGUGUUU
This 1015-nucleotide ribosomal RNA is filed under the name Shigella flexneri. Its description in RNAcentral is "partial 23S ribosomal RNA". It matches the Rfam family "Bacterial large subunit ribosomal RNA", at positions 1934 to 2925 of the family's 2925-position model. Lineage: Bacteria; Pseudomonadati; Pseudomonadota; Gammaproteobacteria; Enterobacterales; Enterobacteriaceae. The record is from RNAcentral.